UGCGUAGGGUGCAAGCGUUGUCCGGAAUUAUUGGGCGUAAAGAGCUCGUAGGCGGUUUGUCGCGUCGAAUGUGAAAACCCGGGGCUCAACUCCGGGCCUGCAUUCGAUACGGGCAGACUAGAGUUCGGUAGGGGAGACUGGAAUUCCUGGUGUAGCGGUGAAAUGCGCAGAUAUCAGGAGGAACACCGGUGGCGAAGGCGGCCCCCUGGCCCGCAACUGACGCUCAUGGUCGAAAGCGUGGGGAGCAAACAGG
RNAcentral lists this ribosomal RNA (253 nucleotides) under uncultured bacterium. RNAcentral's name for it is "partial 16S ribosomal RNA". It matches the Rfam family "Bacterial small subunit ribosomal RNA", at positions 524 to 776 of the family's 1533-position model. The record is from RNAcentral.